RNAcentral lists this ribosomal RNA (253 nucleotides) under uncultured bacterium. RNAcentral describes it as "partial 16S ribosomal RNA". It matches the Rfam family "Bacterial small subunit ribosomal RNA", at positions 524 to 776 of the family's 1533-position model. The record is from RNAcentral.
UACGUAGGGGGCAAGCGUUGUCCGGAUUUAUUGGGCGUAAAGCGCUCGCAGGUGGUCCGUCGCGUCGUGCGUGAAAGCCCCCGGCUCAACUGGGGAGUGUCGCGCGAUACGGGCGGACUGGAGGCCAGUAGGGGGAUGCGGAAUUCCGGGUGUAGUGGUGGAAUGCGUAGAGAUCCGGAGGAACACCAGCGGCGAAGGCGGCAUCCUGGACUGGUCCUGACACUCAUGAGCGAAAGCGUGGGGAGCGAUCCGG